AGACGUUCUCAGGGCGGGGUGCGAUUCCCCACCGGCGGUAAUUGCGUGCAAUGCGCAUAGCCCGCGAGCGCUUGUUGCGAUUUCUUGCAGCAAGGUCAGCAGACCCGGUGUGAUUCCGGGGCCGACGGUAUAGUCCGGAUAAAGAGAGAACAGGU
This 155-nucleotide non-coding RNA is filed under the name Collimonas arenae. Its description in RNAcentral is "FMN sequence". It matches the Rfam family "FMN riboswitch aptamer (RFN element)". From Rfam's summary of the family: The RFN element is a highly conserved domain that is found frequently in the 5'-untranslated regions of prokaryotic mRNAs that encode for flavin mononucleotide (FMN) biosynthesis and transport proteins. This element is a metabolite-dependent riboswitch that directly binds FMN in the absence of proteins. Lineage: Bacteria; Pseudomonadati; Pseudomonadota; Betaproteobacteria; Burkholderiales; Oxalobacteraceae. The record is from RNAcentral.